This 1331-nucleotide ribosomal RNA is filed under the name uncultured bacterium. RNAcentral describes it as "bacterial SSU rRNA". It matches the Rfam family "Bacterial small subunit ribosomal RNA", at positions 8 to 1360 of the family's 1533-position model. The record is from RNAcentral.
AGAGUUUGAUCCUGGCUCAGGAUGAACAUUGGCGGUGUGCCUAAUACAUGCAAGUCGAACGGUGACGAUUUUGUAGCAAUACGAAUGAAAUCAUAGUGGCGAACGGGUGAGUAACGCGUUGGUGAUCUGCCUCGAAGUGUGGAAUAACUUCCCGAAAGGGUAGCUAAUACCGCAUAGUCUCUCAAGGUUUAGAAAAUUGAGAGUAAAGGAUUUAUUCGCUUCGAGAGGAGCCUGCGUCCCAUCAGCUAGUUGGUAGGGUAAUAGCCUACCAAGGCAAUGACGGGUAGGGGACCUGAGAGGGUGGCCCCCCACAAUGGAACUGAAACACGGUCCAUACACCUACGGGUGGCAGCAGUAGGGAAUAUUAGAAAUGGGCGAAAGCCUGAUCUAGCAACACCGCGUGUGCGAUGAAGGCCUUCGGGUUGUAAAGCACUUUUUGGAGGGAAUAGGAAGGAAGGUACCUCCAGAAUAAGUCUCGGCUAACUACGUGCCAGCAGCCGCGGUAACACGUAGGAGGCAAACGUUAUCCGGAUUCACUGGGCGUAAAGCGCGUGUAGGUGGUUCUGUAAGUAGGGCGUGAAAGCUCCCGGCUCAACUGGGAGAGGCCGUACUAAACUGCAGAGCUAGAGGAUGGUAGAGGGAGGUGGAAUUCCAGGUGUAGUGGUGAAAUGCGCAGAUAUCUGGAGGAACACCAGUGGCGAAGGCGGCCUCCUGGACCAUUCCUGACACUCAGACGCGAAAGCUAGGGUAGCAAACGGAAUUAGAGACUCCGGUAGUCCUAGCCCUAAACGAUGCAGACUAGGCGUCGGCGGUUAAUUCACCGUCGGUGUCCUAGCUAACGCGAUAAGUCUGCCGCCUGAGGACUACGGCCGCAAGGCUGAAACUCAAAGGAAUUGACGGGUCCCCGCACAAGCAGCGGAGCGUGUGGUUUAAUUCGAUGCUCCGCGAAGAACCUUACCUGGGUUUGACAUAACAGUGGUAGAGAAGUGAAAACGGAUCGACCCUUCGGGGAGCUGUUACAGGUGUUGCAUGCCUGUCGUCAGCUCGUGUCGUGAGAUGUUCGGUUAAGUCCGCUAACGAGCGCAACCCGCGCUGUGUGUUACAAGUGUCACACAGUACCGCACGGUAUUAAGUCGGAGGAAGGUGAGGAUGACGUCAAGUCAGCAUGACCUUUAUAUCCAGGGCUACACACACGCUACAAUGGUCAGAACAAUAGGUUGCCAAGCCGCAAGGCGGAGCCAAUCCUCCAAAUCUGGCCUCAGUUCAGAUUGCAGGCUGCAACUCGCCUGCAUGAAGUCGGAGUUGCUAGUAACCGCAGGUCAGCAUACUGC